AACAAAUUAAUUGAACUCACAAUAUAAGAUUGUCAAUCUUAAAGCACUUUUAAGUAUUUA
RNAcentral lists this transfer RNA (60 nucleotides) under Limnoria quadripunctata. RNAcentral describes it as "tRNA-Asp". Lineage: Eukaryota; Metazoa; Arthropoda; Malacostraca; Isopoda; Limnoriidae. The record is from RNAcentral.